This 34475-nucleotide long non-coding RNA is filed under the name Citrus sinensis (sweet orange). RNAcentral's name for it is "long non-coding RNA (CSIN_LNC003241)". Lineage: Eukaryota; Viridiplantae; Streptophyta; Magnoliopsida; Sapindales; Rutaceae. The record is from RNAcentral.
UUUGGUUAAAAGCAUUUCAAUAAUUUUGUAAAACAGUACUGCCUGCACAGAAAACCUCCAAAAGCUAAAUGUGAUGCUUUACCGUACAAAAUAGUUACAAGUUUGCUGGCCAGUUGCCACGUUACAUAUCCAUCUUUCGGAGCUCCACCACUAGUGGGUGCAUGCUCCCACUUUGUUUUACUUUUGGAAAGUGACUUUAAUUAGGAAGCACUUCCGCAUCCUAAGGAGAGUAAGUAAUCCACGUAUAUAGAAGUGAUAUUUAAUUAAUUACCUAUUUGUUUUUCUUCAGAAACCUCAACCACGGCAAUGGCAACAACAGCAACAUCAAAUACUGAAACAACGACGGUGAAAUUGAAGUUAAUGAUUGAUAAACGAGCUAACAAGGUCUUGUUUGCCGAAGCUGAGAAAGAUUUUGUGGAUAUCCUGUUCAAUGUCCUUUAUAUGCCACUUGGUAGUGUCGCCAGGCUCGUCACGGAUGCUGGUUUGGGUGGCUGCACAGGAAGCCAGCUGUACCGAAGUCUUGAAAACCUGCCUGAGUAAAUUUAUAAAUUAUAAUUAAUUUUUUUUUUCAAAAAGCUUACUCGGGCUGCAGCCCGCAUUAGCCUACCUCUGCAUACCAUGACUAGUGAGAUAAAUUAAAAUAAACACGAUUUUGAUAUUCAGUGAAUGAAUUAAAACUGAGUUCCGUUAAAACAAGGUGACUUGCAAAAGAAGCUCUCUUUGUUUUUUUAGAAAUAAUCUGUUUCAUGACUUCUUGGGGUUCUUUUUCGAUAAGCAAGCUGACGCAGAACAAAAGCAACAAAAGCAACAAAAGCAAGAGCCACCAAAAUCAAUCAAAGUAAAAGACAGCAAUGGAUCGACAAAAGCAAGAAAAAGGAAGCAAUGGUAACGAAUAAAAUAAAGUGAAACAAAGAAGAAAAGCAAGACAAAUCACCGGCAGGCAGCACAAUAGGUAAGUCACAAAAGUAAUAAUAAAAAGAAUGCCAUAACAGUCGCGUUCUUAUUAGCUUUCUUACGUUGCUAAGGUAAAGAUUUGCACAUCACGCUUUGGUUAAAAGCAUUUCAAUAAUUUUGUAAAACAGUACUGCCUGCACAGAAAACCUCCAAAAGCUAAAUGUGAUGCUUUACCGUACAAAAUAGUUACAAGUUUGCUGGCCAGUUGCCACGUUACAUAUCCAUCUUUCGGAGCUCCACCACUAGUGGGUGCAUGCUCCCACUUUGUUUUACUUUUGGAAAGUGACUUUAAUUAGGAAGCACUUCCGCAUCCUAAGGAGAGUAAGUAAUCCACGUAUAUAGAAGUGAUAUUUAAUUAAUUACCUAUUUGUUUUUCUUCAGAAACCUCAACCACGGCAAUGGCAACAACAGCAACAUCAAAUACUGAAACAACGACGGUGAAAUUGAAGUUAAUGAUUGAUAAACGAGCUAACAAGGUCUUGUUUGCCGAAGCUGAGAAAGAUUUUGUGGAUAUCCUGUUCAAUGUCCUUUAUAUGCCACUUGGUAGUGUCGCCAGGCUCGUCACGGAUGCUGGUUUGGGUGGCUGCACAGGAAGCCAGCUGUACCGAAGUCUUGAAAACCUGCCUGAAGAUUACCUAAUACACCAUCAAACCAAAGUUGAGCUCUUGAAACCCCUUUUAAAAUGGGGGAAAGCAUCUCUGCUCUUGCAGCCCCAAGCUUGUCCGCGACCUGUACCUGUGGAGAGAAAGUUGUACAACUGUGGAAACAAUCACCGCUGUGUGACAAAUGAAGUAAAUACCAGGUGUCCCCAAUGUUCUUCGAGUCAGUGUUAUGAAGUGCAGCAGUCGAUUGUUUCGGAUAUUGAGGGCGGAGUUGUGAAGAAAUCUUUUGCUUGCAUAAUAACUAAUGAUUUAUCAAUAACACCAGCGUCAAUGAUAUCUGCCACUGGCCUGCUGCAGGGCAAAAUUGAGGAUAUUGGUGCCCUGGAGGAGAGAGUUGUCGAUGUUGGCCCUGAUGAGGUAAGGAAUUCUUCUCUGGCAUCUCUUACGCGAUUGAAUUUUGACUUCAUUACCUCAAAUUUUCAAUUUGAAAGCAUAAGCUACGUACUAACGUAUAUAUUUUGGGCUAAAUUGAGCAUGGUUUUUGUACAUCUCAGGUUGUGGAGCUGUUGAAUGCUUCAAUGCAAACAAAUGAAGCUCUCACUAGCGUCUUCCUUCCUCAAAAAGAAUAAGUUUUUGGGUUGAAAAUGAUAUGACUCAUAAAAGAGCUGUGGUGUCAUGAUAGGUACAAGUUGUCAUUAUAUAUCCGUUUGGUUUAUAUAUAAUAAUAAACCCGGUAUUUAUUUCUUGUUUGUGCAUUGUUCUUGACGAUACAAAAGAAUGUGAUGAAUUAAUGAUGUUAAUAUAUUAUGCUUAGACUUUGUUGUUGUUUUUUUUUUUUUUUUCAAUUUCUAAGAAGAUGACGGGACAAUUGAGCGUAACGCGAUCAUUUUCCAGUUCUUAACUCAUACUUUAAUCAAUGAACAUGUGGAUUUCCAUUUUUUCCUCCUUUCCAUUAUGUUGCAAUUCGUGUUAUCAAGAGAUCAAUCAACGCCAAAUUGUAGCCCAAGAUCUUUAGAUCAAACCAAACAAGUUGCUCACGAAAUUUGAUCAGGAUUAAGUCUAAUCAACCGGAUGGACAGAUGAAAAUCUAAAUUGAGUAGAGAAAGAAACAAGAACAAAAACGAAUUAACGUGGUUCAGCUGAUUUGCAUCAGCCUACAUCCAUGGAGAAACAACAUGAUCAGCUUUUAUUGAUUAUCAAGAAGAACUACAGAGCUUUACAGAGCACAUUACAUAGAUCAAGAAGUCUCUCGAAAUGAUCCCAACUUCUCUCUAUAUAGCUCACAGCCCUCUCCUGUUUUUUACAUUAGAACCAGCUGUUUUAACAGCUCUGCAACUGAUUUCACGAAGCCCCGAAAGAAGCUCACGCGAUAUGCACGUGAAAUAACAGCCUUUAACGACUCGGCUUGAGCACGUGUAAGGCUUGUGACUUAUUGAAGUCGAAACGGCAUUUCGAGAAGUCGUUUAAAAGAGCAACAAUAAAACCCAUCGAAACGCUGCUUUCCACGUCGUUUCACUUAUACAAAGCCAUCCCCAAAACGCAAUAAUCCCAUGUCGUAUUGGUCAAUUCUGAUUUGCUUCACCAGACACUGGGCACAUUUUUCUUAAAUAUCGUAAAUAACUAGAACGCCCAGAGGGAAGCCAACAAUAUUGGCAAUCGGCAAAAAUCUUCCUUAUCCAUGGUGAUUACUGAUUAGGCUUUAAAAACAUUCUAAUAAUUAUCAUUAGACAGACCAAAUUGUUAACAGUGUUCCAUAUCAUGGAGCAAUUAUAAUUUGUAAAUAGCACUCUCUACAACUUCGAAAAUGAACCACCGAUGGUUAAGUUAUAAGUUAUUGGAGCUAAUGGAGUCAGUACUGGGGAAAUUAUGCAUGGCUUCUUUUCUAAGUUACAGUUUUAGGAAAGCAAGAACCCUUUUUAGUAUCUGAUUUUGUUUUAUUUGUUUCUCUAUAACAUCAAAUUAAUAUGAUGAUGGAAACAGGACUUUGAUAUUCAGCGAUGAUCAUGAAUGGCAUUAAAAUUGUAAAACAAGGAGAAUUCUAAAAGGUUUUGACAAAGAAAUUCAUAGCUAGAAUAAUUACUUUUUGACCAUUUAAUGAUAUAUGAUCCACUAUUUCUCAAAUAUAAAAGGCGAAAUGUGGUGUAAAUGAAAGUAUAUGGCAAGGAAGAAGGUUGUUGGGAAUUCAAAAAUCCCAUCAAAAGAUUGUAGAUUCAUAUAUAAGUUAGAUUCAUACAGAGUUCUGACAUAUAGAGUAUAUGUAUAUAUACACAUAUAUAUACACGUAAGUUUUAUAUAGUUCUCUUUGCAAGCGUCCAUGCAUGAUUAGUAUCAUUUAGGAUGAAUUAGUAUAAAGAAGAAUAAUAAUUUACUUUGGGUUAUUAUUAUUAAGUUAUAAUUAAUACAAACUUUACUUUGAUCUUCAAGUGGAUGUGUGUUGCUUAAACAACCAACAUACAGAACCGAAGUUCUGAUCUUACACACAAAUACAGCCACACAAAUACAGUUUACACACAAAUGGUCGAUGGACCAUGGCUAUAAAUAGCCAAACUCACUUUGUUAAUCUGGCAUCCUUUUUCUUUGAAGAAGAAACAAUAAUACUUAAAAAGCAUCUUCUCUCAAAUUCAUUUUUAAAGCUUUAACUUUCUGUUCAGUUUUAUAAGCCUACCUAUAUUUAGUUCCCAUACUUUCUCCAUUUGCAAUUAUUAGACUACUUCCCCCAUAGAUCCAUUAUAUUUCUUUCUUUUCUUUCCUUUGUUUUUUUUUUUUCCUUUUUAAUAUCUUGUCAUGCAUAAUAUAUUUGAGGAGUUUUAACACUCAUAUCAACCUAGCUCCCUGAAACAUAAAGCACAGAAAAAGUUAAUAUUAAUAAUUGAGAACUUUACUUUUAUAAAUUUGUAAAAAUUAAUAAAUGAGAACUUAUCUUUUCAGCGAAAUCGACAAAAGUAAAUGACCAAGAACAAAAGCAACAAAAUAAGCAAUUGGCAGAAGCGAAACGAAGAAAGCAAUUGUAACAAACAAAGUGAAAUAAAUAGGAAAAGCAAGACAAAUCACUGGAAGCCAGCACAAAAGAAAAGUCACAAAAGUCAUCAAAAGCAUGCUAUGAGAGUCAAGUUAUUAUUACCUUUCUUUACUUUUGGAAAGUGCCCUUGGCAAGGACUUUUGCAUCCUAAAGGGAGUAAGUAAACCACGUAAGUGAAUUUUAUCUACCAAGUAGUUGCUGUGUUACAGGUUCUCUAGAGACUUGUUUCUUUUCUUCGGCAGCAUCAACCAUGGAAACGGUAACAGCAACAUCAAACAAUGAAACGAAGAAGGUGAAAUUGAAGUUAAUAAUUGACAAACCAGCUAACAAGGUCCAGUUCGCCGAAGCCGAAAAAGAUUUUGUGGAUAUCCUAUUCAAUCUCCUUUAUAUGCCAUUUGGUAGUGUCAUCAGGCUCCUCAGGGAUGCUGGUAUGGUUGGCUGCACGGGAAACCUUUACCAGAGUCUUGAAAACCUGAGUGAAGCUCUCCUGAUACCCAAUCAGACAAACGUUGAACUCUUAAAGCCCCUUCUAAAAUGGGAAAAAGAAUCAUUGCUCUUGCUGCAAGCUUGUCCGCAACCCGUGGAGAGAAAGUUAUACGGUUGUCCAUACUAUCAUAGUUAUGUGACCAACCAAAUGGACACCCGGUGUCCCCAAUGUUCCAAUUAUCUGAAUAAUGCAUUGCCACAAGUGAACAUGGUUCCGGGUAGUGAGGGCGGGAUUGUAAAGAAAUCAGUCGCUUUCACUGUAACAGAUGAUUUAUCAGUGACACCAGGGUCAAUGAUAUCAGGCAUUGGCCUACUACAAGGCAAACUUAAGGAUGCUAUUGGCGCCCUUGAGGAGAGAGUUGUCGAUAUUGGCCCUGAUGAGGUAAGGAGUGCUUCUCGAGUUAGCAUUUUUAUCUUGUUCGAAUUUUGAUUCCAAUAACAUAAAAUUUUAAUUUGAAAGCAUAAUUGAGCUACCAUGUUGCUCCUCUCACCCUACCAAUGAUAUAGGCUUUGGGCUAAAUCAUAUGGUUUUUGUAACUCUCAGGUUUUGGAGUUGUUCAAUGCUUCAUUUCAGACAAAUGAAGCUCUCUCUACCGUCUUCCUUCCUCAUGAAGAAAGAGUACAUGGGAUGAAGAUUAUAUGACUCACAAAAAUAAAAUACGCUGUGAGCACCUUGUUACGAAAUUAAGCUAUAAGUCGAGGUUUACAUAUCCGUUUGGUUUGUUUAUUACAAACCCAGUAUAUGUUCUUGUUUCUGCGUUUUUCUUGAUGUUACAAAACUAUGUGAUGAAUUGAUGAUGUUAACGUAUUAUGAAUCCACCGAUAGAGUUAAGCAUCAUUGGAACUACUGGAGGCCGUACUAGUAUUGGGGAGAUUAUAUGGUUCCUUUUCUAAGUUUCAGUUUUAGGAAAGCAUGAAACCCUUUUAGUUUUUGUGUUAUUAAUUUAUUUUUUCUUAACAUCAAAUUAAUCUGAUGAUGAAAACAGCAUUUUCAAAUUCAGUUUUGAUCAUUUUAAUCACUAUCUUAUUGAGUUUAUGUAUUUAGGUAUAUUAUUUCCAUUUUAAUUGUAAUUUAAACUUUUAUGUCUGAGUUAAUUUAAGGAAAUAUAGAGAAUUUUGUCAUUAUUUUUGCACACAAAGACAAAAGAAAGCAAAUUCUGUGGGGGGNNNNNNNNNNNNNGGGGGGGGGGGGGGGGAUGCAAAACAAACCAGAAAAGAAAGAAGUAUAUAUCGCCGGAAGUCAGCACAAAAGGAAAGUCACACAAGUCAUCAAACGCAAGCUAUAACAUUCAAGUUAUUACUGGCAUUCGUUUAAGGUAAAGAUUUGCAUAUCACAUUGGUUCAAAGCAUUUCGAUCUUGUUAAAGCAAAUAAAACCACCCAAAAGCUAAAUGGGAUGCUUCACUUUACAAUUGAUGCUCUCGGAUUCGGAAGCAAACUCGGCACACGGAGCAGCCUAUUUAUAGUCUAAGCUUGAGAUCGAAAUUGUGCUCUGCUUUUGAUCAUCAUCUUCAUUAGCAAAAUAAUAAUAAUUUUCGCUGCCAACUUUGUUUUACUUUUGCAAAGUGACUUAUUAACAAGCGCUUUCGCAUCCUAAAGAGAGUAACUAAUCCACAUAAGUGAUAUUUAAUUGCCGAGUAGUUACAAUCUUAGAAGUUCGCAAAAGAAUUAUUUCUUUUUCUUGAGAAACAUCGGCCAUGGCAACAGAAAAACCCUGUGGCUGAUAAAUUUUUGCUACUAGAUAAUCGAAAUAUUUCUCACACUCAAUGUGGCUGAUCUGUUUGACUAUCACCUAGAUGAUGAGGCGUUGUACAAGCCAAACUCGAAGACGAGUUUUUUUCUAAGUGAGGAGGACUGAUGUAGGAUGGUUGCGUGUUACAAACGAGAUAUCUUUCAGAGGGCUUCAGCUACAUGUGUCUGUUUUUUGCACAUAAUAUAAUGUUUCAAAUCUUGCAUGAGAUGAACCAAACCUAGAACUCUUGCACCAUUCUUCCCAAUGAUCAAGCCGGAAAUUCUACUUCAUUAUUGGUUAUUUUCCAAUUAUAAGAUAUUUUCCUAAUUUUCUUACUGAAGGUGCCUAGUAAUGAUAGACACUUGUGAAGAUGACCCUACAUCUUGAAAGGUGGGUUUGUCUCUCAAUCUCCUACUAAUCUUGGUAAGAGAAUGCUUAUUAAUCUACUUCUCAUCAUUAUGCCUAGAAAAUGGGACUAUAAAAGAAUUGUAUUAUUACAUGACAUUAUCGUUUUAUUAAAAGUAGUGAUAUGAAGCAAAAUCACUAGAGAAUAUAUAUGCUUAUCAUAGUGCAUCAAACGAGUGCGCUCAAUUUAGCAAGAGCACACCUAAAAUAACAAAGCAUGCACCUAAGGUAAGGGUGGAAAAGAAGUCUAAUAUCAUAUGUGAAAAAUUUUGAAUGCAUGGUGACAGCUUUUGGAGGAGGAUGGUUAGGUUUUUCAUUUUCUCUAACCCUGUCAAGAGAGAUGGAAUUGGGUUUACUAUAAAAGAUCCAAAAGAUUCAAGUGACAUCUCAUGUAUGUGAUUGCUGAUAACUCUAUGAAAUGAGAGUUAUCAUGACACUUUUAGAUUUAAAUCAAGAUUACUUAGAGAGUAAAUGAUAUGUUUUCAUUGCAUUUUUUUGUUAUAUUUUGCAUAAACAUUCAUAUUAGUUUAUUCUUAAUAAAUUUUGUUUGAUUUAGAAUAAUUUGUGCUUAAAUCAUAUGCAUAAUUGUAGGUGACCGGAAGCUCAAAUUUCAAAAAAGGAAUGCUACUGUAAUAGGCUUGCAAAAGAUGAAAAGAACUUGGCUAUAGAAGAAUUGAAACAAAUCUGGAACAGUGCAGUUGCUGUAGCAAUCGUUGUUGUAGCAAUAUUGUCAUUGCUGUAGCAAUCCUAGAACAACGACAGAGAGAAUUUUACAGAAUAUUACGAUCUGCAGUUUCCUAAUCGGGAAGAUACGCGACCUAAGCUUCCGUUUACCCUAAUUUUCAACUAUAAAAUGAGCACACAUAAUAAGAAAAGAGGAGGGCGUCAAUCAUGACUGAAAGAAGAACAUGAAAGAAACAAAGAAGAAGAUUGAAGAGAAGGACACAAGUCUGCACCAAGAACAAAAUCUGUAGAAUAUUUGGGAUUCAACUUUUCUCAUUCGAUUCUUGUUCUUCUUCUUUAUUCUUUGGUUGAAAAUAUGUAUCUGAUGGCUGGAACUUCAUCGUUUGUUUUUCUUUUACAAGUUAUGAGCUGAAUUUAAUUGUAGUUAAGUGACAAAUUAUAUAUAUGGGUUUUUGACUGUUCACAUGAGUUGCUACACAUCUACUGUAGCAUUUUACUCUAAUAAAUAAUAUUACACUCAUUAUUUCGGUUGACCUCUCACUUAAUGACACAAGUUAAGAGAAAGCCACUACAUGACCUGUCUGAGUGGAACAUAUUAUAGUAAUAUUUGGUCUUAAAUUGAGUUUCCUGGAUCGAGUCUCAACUUGAAUCCUAAAAGGGUUGUGCUUGAUUUAAGAUUUGUAAUGAACUAGAUAUAGGGAUUAACCUUGUAGGGUAAAGAGAAUCUAAGUUUGUAAUGUCAUAUUUUAUGUUGACAUAACAACUGGUCACUGUUAGGUUGCAUAAAUAUAUGAGAUAUCCAACAUGCGACGGCUAAGGAUGCAUGAGAAUUCAGCCCAGUGCUGUAGCAUAUGCUGUAGCAACUGAACUUAAUAGGCACUAAACAGUCAAUCCCAUUAAGAGAAUUUGCUCACUCAACUACCACUUGUUCAUUGAUUCAACCUUGUGUUUAACGUGAAUUUUAGUUUUAUUAUCUCUACAUUUUAUGUUGGCAUUAUUACUAUUUUUAGUCAAUUGAUUUUUUUUUUUAGUUAGAAAAGAGAUUACAUUGUUGAGAUUGCUGUAGCAGCUCUAGUAGCAUCAAUCUGUGGAGAUGAUCUUGGUUACUCAUCACUUUAUUACUUGUUGUGUACACUUACACAUUGACACCAAUAACACUUGAGCUAAAAAAUCUACAACAAUUACCUACUUCAUCAAUACUCUAGUCAAGGUCGGUAGAAGUAGAAGAAGGGAAAAAAUAGGUAGGGCUAAAAUUUACAACAAGGGGUGAUUGGUUAUUUACGAGCUUAUAGUCAUUGUCUUCAACAGGGUAUUCACAAAAGACAGGGUUAUAGGAAUCCUCAGAGUCUGAAGACAUUGCUUAUGUGUUAACUAAAGAUGUCAAGCGAAGAAUUAAGAAAUAAUCAAUACACACCAAGGAUUUGAGUGAUCUAAACUUAAAAAAAAAAAAUAGAUGACUUUUGCAUGGGAGAAAAACCUUCAAUAUUGGUGAGUAUAUAUAUGGGAAUCUAGUUAGCUCUUUUCAACUUUAAAAGUAAGUUUCGGGAAACUAUUAUCAGGAGAAAACAAGACAGUGUACGCAUAAAAAAAAAAAGAAGAGAGAGAGAGAGAGAGAGAGAGACCAGUGCUCACCAAGAACUCAAGUGAUCUACACUUAGAAAAGAAAAAAAGAGACGACUCCUUCAAUAGUGGUCAGUAUAUAUAUUUGUAAAUACAUAUAGACACACACACACACACACACACACACACACACACACACACACACACAUGUAUAUUUUCUUUAAAAGUCAAGUUUCGAAGAGUAGGGGACAAUUGUUGUCAGAAGAAAACAAGACAACAUGCACAUAAGGCAUAUAAGAAGUAUGUUGGAGAAAAUAAGAAAGCAUGCAUGCAAGAAGCAUAAUAUAAGUAAGAUGUCAUAGAACCAAAGUAAUUUGAGCAAGAAAAGAGCUACAUGACAUAUGCAAGAUGUCAUGGAGCCAAAAUAAUUUGAGCAAGAAAGAAGCUACAUGACAUAAACCAGAUGUUAUGGAACCAAAAUAAUUAAAACAAGAGAGCAAGCAUGCUUCUGCAUGCAAAAAAGCGUGAUCAAAAUGUAAAACCUGAAAUUUGUUCCAUUUUUUCAUAUACAUAUCUUAUAGAAUAGAGUAUUUUAUACUUAUAAUAUGUAAGUGAAUGAUUAAAAUUUCAUUUUGAUUUCUUUUCUUUUACAUGUAUUUUAUAUAAUAUAUUAUUUUAUGUUAGUACUUAUAUUGAAUGAUUAAAGUUUAGUUAAUUAGAUAAAGUGGUGGGGUGGAGUAAUUAUAUUGAAUGAUUAAGUUUGGUUGUAUUUUAAUUUCAUGUAUUUUUUUUUUUUGUGUGGCUCUUAUGUGCCUUGAUAUUGUAUAAAUACCCCCCCUCAUUUGUAUUUAAAAAUUUUCCAAGAAGUGUUUGAGCAAAGGCUUUAAGUUUCAAAGGUAUAGUCUUGAGUGAAUUUCUUCUUAGAGAAGUAAGUAUUUAUAAUCUUUAAAUUUCUAUUUUUAUGUAUGAUUCUAUGUAAUUAAUUGAAUGAUCUUGUGUGGUAUAUUGAUAAAAUUGUGAAAGCAUGAUCAUGGAUUGAUUUAUGUUGUUAUUAAGUGAAAAUAAUGUUAUCAUGUAUAUGUAUUAUCCUAAAAUUGUGGACAAUUAAUAUAGAUUAAAUGCUUUAUAACUGCUAUUUUCAUUGAUUUUAUGUUAGUUUUUUAACUAGAUAUCUUUAUCUUUCUAUCCAUAUAAUUAUUGUUCAAAAACUCAUUGUAUGUUAAUUGUUUUGAUUUUUUUGAACUUGGAGCACUAGUAUUGGAAAAUUCUGACUUCCAGUAAUAGUUCCCACUUCUAUAACUUAUUUCAUAAAUCAUAAUUCAAAUGAACUUUAAACAUUAUGUGAUUUGUAUUUUGAUAGGCAUAUAUGUCUAGUUUCAGUAUGUUAAAACUUGUAAUUCUUAACCUUAUAUUAAAAUCAUUAAAAUUCAUAGAGUUGGAUUGACAUAAUCCUAGAAACUAUCCCCAAAAUUGUGAAGGUUGAUAUUGAAGUUAGUUUAGGUUACUUUCUCAUCACUAAAUACCUUAUAAAUUUUAUUUCUAAUUCCACUAUUUCCUCUAAUCCUCAAAGUUUGAAUUGCUAUUUUGAUACAUGUAUAAUUGAAGUUAUAAAUUUUUGAAUCAGCAUACCUUUGUUUAUAUCGCCAUUAGACAGUUUUGAUGUUUUUGUGGAAAAAUAAAUUUUUAGGGGUCAUUUUAUACUCGAAUUAAUUUUGUGAAAUUUUAUAUUGGAUGCCAAUAUGUUUAUAAUAGUUUUUUUUGCUAAUAUUUAUGAUUUUUCUAACAUACUUAUAGCUAAUUAGAAAUUGAUGCACAAAUUAGCAACUGUACCAGUUCGUACAAGUAAUAUAAUGAAAAGUAGAGUAUCGUCUCACAGAGAUUGUAUAUCCUAUUAGCUAUCGAAAUUAUUCUAACCCUAAUUUAUUUGAACAAUCGAAUAAGCGGAUUUAGAUUAAAAAAUAAAAUAAAAUAAAUAUGCAAGCAGUAAUAGAAAUCACUAAGAGAUUAAGACAUUAGGACAUUUGAUUUCACCAUAACCAAUCCAAUUUAAUCCUCCAUCUAUGCUAUUAAAGUUUAUUACCCAUGUUGAUAGUGAAUUUUCCUAAUCUAUUCAAUAUAAUCUCUCGAGUAAUAUUAAAAAUACCUUCACAUAUCAACCUAUUAUAUCGCUAUGUGAAUUUAAAUAUGCAAAGAUUCAUUAAACUCUAUGGAAAUUCUUAGAAAAACUGCAUGAAUCACGUUGGCACAUCUCUAUCUUUCGUUCAAUUCAUUGCAUCCAUUACAUAGAGCAAAAAUACUUAAAUCUCCUCUCGGUCUCAUUAUGUAUCCUUAAAUCAUUUAAAUAUUAGCUGGAUAUUUAAAAGUAUUAAACACAAUAAUGAACACUCAACCAUGUAAUAAUAAACUAAAAAUAAAAUAGAUUUAUGAAAUUAAAUUUUCAUAGUUAGGCUACAUCGUAGCCCUAGCAAAAUAAAUUAGUUAAUGAGAAUAUAAAGAGAAUCCAUGAAUUUAAUUGGGAACAUUCAAAAAAGACAAUUGAGAAAAGAGAAAGAAAAACUCAAGAAUUAAUGCGUCUUCCUCCUCCAAAUUAUUCUUGCUACUCUCGACUUUUGCUUAAAAGUGCGGCUGCUGCUUCCUUUCUUCUUUCUUCGGCUUGUGGUUCUUGUGGCUGCUCCCACCUCUCGGUUUUUUUCUCUUCCUUUUAUAUUGCUCAGCCCCUGAAUCCUUAAAUCAAAAGGAUUUUAAAACAAAACAAAUCUAGCCCACCUUUUAAGCCCAUGCACGUGAAUCAUUUAAAUUGUCAAUUAAUUCUUUAAUGCUCCCCACAUGCAUGCAUGCUUAAUGGUUAAUUAAAUCUUCCUUGAUUUAUUUAUUUUUAUUUAUUUUCCUUUUUUCUUCCACCACUAGUGAUUGUUUUCAUUAUACUCCAAUUUGUUUCUUCUUUUCGCUUCGUUUCACUUAAAUAUUCCCAAUAUUCAUACAAUGAUAAAAUACAAAAAGUAAGAUAAAAAUUAAUAUAUAAUAUAAUUUAACAUAAAAUUAAGUUAUAGAAGUAUUAAAAUAAUAUAAAAAUUAUUACCACACUAGAAAUCAACUCCUAUAAGAUGGUCGAAUGUAGUUUGGUAAAUUGAUAUACUUGAGUUGGAGUUAAUGAUUUAAGGAUGUUGUGUAUCCUAUUAAAGCCAGAAUUGUAUAUGAUAUUAAUAAGAAUCUCAUCUUGAUAAUUAUAGGCCAAGAAUGAACUCGUGUGUUUGGGUUAUUGUUAGUUGCUUCGGAUCGAAAUAAGUUAAUUCAUGUAUAGUAUUUGUUAUAUAUAUGUAAUUAUGUAUGACAAGAAUAUUGUUGUUCAUAUAUUUUAGCAAUUUGUUGUUUAAAGUAUUUUAUUAUCAUUGUUUAUAAUAAUGAGUUACAUUUUGGUUUAAAGUUUAUUUAAAUUUUUUUAGAUUUGUUUUUAAAAUGUCUUUAAAAUACUUGUGUUCUAUAAAUUGUUUUCCUUAAAAAUAAUUUGCAAAGUUUUGCCAAUUAAAUCUCUUAUAACAGUUUUUAUUGAUCUAUUAUUGAAUGAUUGAUAUUGAAUGAUUGAUAUUGAAAGAUUGAAAAUUAUUUUAAGGUUUUGGUUUAUUGUCUAUAGUUACCGUUACUGAUAUGAUUGAACAACUAACCGCAUUGCGUGCACUUAUUGACGAUUAUUGCAGGGUAAAGUACCCCAAUUGAACUACUGGGCAAGUCACUGGGAUUACAGAUGACAUACUAAACUACUAGCCGGGUCACCAAGAAUACAUGUGACACCAUGAGGCAUGAGCAAACUGAACAAAUGGAAUUUUAUUGAUAAAUGAUUUCUUAAAUGAUUUAUUUAUUAAAAAUGAUUAUCAUGUUAUGGCUUAAUUGAUUAUAAUUUUUAUUUUACAUAUGUAUUAGAUUAUAAAAUGAUUACUAAUUUCUCAUUUAUGACACUUCAUAAUAAUUAUUAUGCAUUUUAUCGUAUUAGUAACCUUACAUAUGAGUUUACUUGCCGAGUUAACGGCUCACCCCUUAUUUGUAAUAUUUUGCAGAUUAAUUUUAGAGAUGUGGGCCUUUUGGUUUAGAGAAAAUGAUUUGUUAGUUGAACACUUUAGUCAUUUUCGUGAUGAAUAAAGUAUCAUUACUUUAGUUUUUACUUAGAGAUGAAUUUGGUAUUGAAGGAUAAUUGUUAUAUUUAUUGUUUUAGAGAUUAUGUUUCGGCUAUGGACAUUAUUGGAUAUUAUUGAUUUUCUUUUGGAAAUAGUAAUAAGAUUUAAUGUUAAGAGGCUUCAUUCCAAAUUCCUAUUCCAAUUCUUGGGUGAAUUUAGAGUGUCACACAAAAUGUCAUAGAGCCAAAGUUAUUUGAGCAAGAAAUGAGCUACAUGAUAUAAGUAAGAUAUCAUGAGACUUGUUAGAAAAUCGAUGGGUGAAGCAGGGCCACAACUAAAAUGAAAUUAGAAGAAAAAUGAAAAUAAGCACACAUAGAGGACACCAAAAAUUAUGUGAUUCGACUAUUAGUUUACGUCCACGAGUGAAGACAGAAGGAAAAUAUUUCACUAGUGAAAUCAAGAUUACGAAUAUUGUAAUAUUUUUGACUCACUACCCAGUAUCCCAAUACACCCAAUCUCUCACUCACUAAUCACUCAACUCUCACUUGACUUUUUCUCUUCUCAAAAUGGAUCUGAAAAAGAAGAGAAGAAUUGGACGUUGAAAUGAGGAGAAGCAUCCUCCUUUUACAGUCAAAAUUUAGCUACUAUGCAUUUUAUUAUUUUAAUUAUUAUUAUUAUUAUUAUUUUCUUUUAAAACUAUCCGGCUCCCUCUUUCUUCUUCAAAUAUAUUAGCUUCAUUUUUUUCUUUUUCUUUUUUCAAAAGAAGCUGUUGCCAAACCAUUUUCCCUUCAAAUAUUUACAGCUUCUAGAUUGGUGGGCUUCUAGAAUUUAGCACGCCAACUUUGACAUUCUCCUACUUGGAGAUUUGAUUGAGAACCAAUCAAUCUCCACACCAUCCUUUAUACUUCGAUGUUGUCACAUUACUUGCGUUUUUGCUAGGCCACAUGAGGAUCUACUCCAUACAAACUUGUCAGCAUUGAUUGGCUUGGUCAUAACAUCUGCUAGGUUCUCUUUUGUAUAGAUUUUCUGUAAAUCCACACUUUCAUCUUCCAUUACUUCUCGAACAAAGUAAUAUUAUACUUUUAUGUGCUUUGUUAUGGAAUGAAAUGUUGGAUUCCUUGCAAUGUGCAAGACACUCUCAUUGUCACAAAACACACGAAUUUUCUCUUGUUUGUGCCCGAGCUCCUCCAAUAACCUUUGCAUCCAAAUAGCUUCCUUGCAAGCUUGUGUAGCUGCCAUAUUUUACUUCUGUUGUAGAUAAGAUCACAACGGUCUGCGGUUUCAAAAUUCAACUUAUAGCUGCUCCCACAAGUGUAAACACAUAGCCAGUAGUAUAUUUUCUUUUAUCAAGGUCUCUUGAAAAAUAUGAAUCCACAUAACCUCUAACAGUAAACUCUGAUCUUCCAUAACAUAAUAUAACAUCUGAUUCACCAUGUAUCGACUGACUGCUCCCACUGCUUGUGCAAUGUCCGAUCUUGUACAAAUCAUAGUGAACAUUAAACUUCCCACUGCUAAUGCAUACGGUACUCGAGACAUAUCAUUCAUCUUUGCUUCAUUGCUAGGACACAUACUUGAGGAUAACUUGAAAUUAAUAGGAAGUAGAGUAGAAAUUGACUUACAAUCUUGCAUAUUGAAGUGCUUUAAGAUUUUUUUUCAAGUAAUUCUUAUGAGAAAGUCAAAUCUUCAUGUUAUUUCUGUCCUGGUGAAUUUACAUCCCUAGAAUCUUGUUUGCUGGUCCCAAAUCCUUCAUUUUAAACUUCCUAGCUAACUGUGUCUUUAAUUCUUUAACGGCUUGUUACCAAUAUGUUAACCACAUACAAAAGCAAAAUGAUGAAAUCAUUAUCCUUAAACCUCAUAUAAUAUGCACAAUAGUCUGAACUAAAUCUAUUUAUCCAAGGCUCAUGAUGAAGGAAUCAAAUCUCUUAUACCAAUACCUUGGCACCUGUUUGAGAUCGUAUAAAGAUUUGUUCAACUUGCGAACCAAGUUCUCUUUGCCUACUUAAGUAAAACCUUCUGGUUAGAGCAUAUAAAUCUCUUCUUCAAGUUUUUUUUAUGAAGAAAUGUAGUUUUCACAUCUAAUUACUCUAAAUGUAGGUCAAAUAUAACACACAUUGCCAAGACUACUUUGACUGUCGUAAGUCGAACUACCAGAAAAAAUAUCUCAUUGAAGUCAAUACCUUCUUUCUGAGCAUAUCCUUUUACCACCAAUCUUACACGAUACCGCUCUACUUGGUCAUUGCUAUCACGCUUGAUCUUAUAGGCUCAUUUAUUUCCCAUGACUUUUCUUUCGCGCGGUAGUAGUACAAGUUCCUAUGUCUUAUUUUUGUGUAGAUCUUUAAUUUCUUUCUAUAUUGCUGUCAUCGACAAAGGAACAUCUGGACUGUUUAAAGCUUCAUGAAAAGUUAAUGGCUUUCCAUCCUCUGUUAGAAGACAGUAUACAAUAUUGAUCUCUGUAACAUAUUCCAAGUGCCACACUGGCGAUCAUCUCUCACGAGUUGACUGACAAACUUUUAGAGCCUCGAACUCGACUAGUUCCUAUUCCUCGUGCUCUGAUGUUGCUUCAAAAGAAUCUGAAUCUUCUAUUCCUAAAUUACUUUUCACAUAUACUAAUACACCCUCUGACUUUUUUUUACAAUGCUAUCGUCCCCAUCUUUUCGAUGCAAUUGAUCUUUUAUAAAGAUAACAUCUCUACCAAUGAUAAUCUUGUGGCAGUAUGAUCCUACAGAUGAUACCCCUCCACUCCAUCAGCAUACCUCAAUAAGACACAUCUUUUAGAUUUUAGAUCCAGCUUUUCUUCUUUCUUGGGUAUUAUACAUUACAUACACAGGACAUUCAAAUGCAUGUAAAUGAGAGUAAUCAACUGAAUUUCCUGUCCACAUCUCCAUCGGUAUUUUUAAGUCAAAUGCUAUUGAUAGAGAUCGAUUAACCAUGUAAUAGACAAUUUUGGCUACUUCUACCUAGAAUGAGUUGAGUACACCAGCAGUUCUCAACAUAACUCUUAUUUUUUCUGUAAGAGUCUUGUUUAUCCGCUCUGUCAUUCCAUUUUGUUGAAGAAUGUAUGCCACUGUGAAUUGUCUUUAGAUACCUUCUUGCUUACAGUAUGCAAGAAACUCGCCAUCUGUAUACUUUCCACCGUUAUCUGUCCUCAAGUACUUUAUCUUUUUCCCGUAUUCAAGUUCAACCCGCACUUUGAAUUCUUUGAACACUGAAAAACACAUCUUACUUUUUAUUGAUUGGAUACACUUAACAUCUUCUAGAAUAAUCAUCAAUAAAAGUCACCAAGUACUUUGUACCUCCCAUUGAUAUGUCUGGUAAUUCCCAAACAUCAAAAUAGACUAAGUCUAUAAUGCAUUUACUUUUGGCAAUAUAUCUGCCGAACUUCAAUCUAUAUUGCUCACUUACAACACAAUACUCACAAAAUGAUAAAUUGAAUGAUUUGAGCCCCGAAAGCAACUUUCGUUCAGAGAGAAUCUCUAAACCUUGUUCUGACAUGUGGCCAAGUUUAAGGUGCACAUCAUCGCUGAUUCUUCUUCAUUUGAUGGACACACACAUUAACUUCCUGGAGUAUUUCUCAUUUGAGCAUGAAUAGAUUAACACCAGUCUUUUCCUCUUUCAUCAAAAUAAGUGAGCCUUUGGCAAUCUUCAUAAUCUCAUUUUCAACAUGGGUUUUACACGCAAAACUAUCUAUUUGUCCCAACGAUAAUAGAUUUUUCUUCAGACUGCUGACAUACUGUACCUCUUCAAUUGUAUGAAUUGUACCAUUAAAUAUUUUUAUUUUGACAGUACCAAUACCAGCUAUCUCCAAAACAUGAUCAUCACUCAUGUAUACAGAUCCUUCUUAGAUAGGUUUAUAUGUGUGGAACCAUUUUCUCCGAGAGGUCAUGUGCCAGGUAGCUCAUGAGUCUAUAAGCCAAACUUCAUAUAGUCGUUUUCUGCCUUCUAGAGCGGUUGUUGCUGUAGAGAAUUUUGCAAUCAUCGGAGAUACUUGCCACACACCCCUGAGCAUUUGAUGACUCAGGAUCUUUACUCUUUCUUCUUUUCUGGUUGUUCCAAAACUCUUUUUUUAUAUGCCCUUUUUUGCCAUAAUUAUAGCAUUUGAUAUUCUUCUGACUUAUUGACUUUAAUCUACCAUGAUUGUGACUCCCACGGGGCCACAUUCUAUUGAUCUCCCUUUCGUCAUCGAUAAUGCUUCUGCUUAUUGUGAACUUACUUACCGGUCUUAUUUAUUUUUUCACCUGCUCUUCUUAUUUAAUACUGAGGCUGCAACAUCGUUGAAGACUAGGCUUGGAUUUGUUCUUCAGAUUGAUGAUGAGUGGAUCAUUCGAAUAUAGUAGACUCUAAAGUAGAAGCUCUGCACGUUCAUUUUCCUCUAUUUUAUGACCUAGCGUUGUGAGUUGUGGAAAAAAGAGUCUUUAAGAUGUUGAUAUUGUCAGUCACUGAUGUAGAUUUUGCCAUUCAAAGAAUAUAAAGUCUUCUCUUCAAGAAGAUCUUGUUGUGUAGCGACUUGGCCUUAUACAGUGUAACGCCCAAUUUUAUUUAUUUAUUUAUCCUCUUUUGCCCUUAUUAAAUUGAGUAGGAUAGUUAUUUUUGAGUGUUUGUGUGUGAGUAAAAUUUAUCGGAUUGUUUUAAAUAAGUUACGUAAAUUAUUAGUUUUUUAAAAAAUAUUUAUUAAUUACCAAGUAUUUAAGAGAAAACCAUCUUUUUAAGAAGCUGUUUUUUAUUUUUACACCGUUACAAACCCUAGAAAGAAAAGAAGGAAAUAUAAGUCUUUGGAGAAGGAAAAGAAAGUUUUAUCACUUCUUUUCUUAGUGUUUGCCUUAAGGUAUUAAGUAUUUUUUCGACUUAUAUGAUUUAUUUUUAUGGAAUUGUUUGCCUUUAAUUACUUGUAGUAUGAUUUGGGUAAUAUAUGUGUGUUUGUAAUGUUGUGAUGAUAUGAACAGUCUCUAUUCCUUGCUUGAAAUCGUUUUCUUUAUUUAGAAUCACGUGAAUAUCUUACAUAUCAUGGAACUAGACAUCCUAGGCUUUCCAUUGAUAGGUUUUGUGUUGAAAUCGUCUGAGUAUGCAAAUUGUUAUGGGUUUUCGAAGUUGGGUUACUGGUGCUGGAAAAUUCCGAUUUUCAGCAGCGGUUCUCAACUCUGGAAAAUUUUCUAUAAGGUUACACAUCCUUUAAAAUUAUGCCGAUUUUUGUGCCAACAGAUCUAUGUCUCCUAUGCUUGCAUGUUUAAUUUCGUAGUUUUAUUCUUUCUGAUUAAAUUAUUAAAAAUCGUAACAUGCGGCUGCUGCAGAUCUGGAAACUGUUUUCCAGAAAUUAUAGAAGCUGAAACGUGUAACCGUUUGGGCUAAUUUAUGGAUAUUACAUGAUGUUAGGGUUUUAUAAUGAAAUUUCAAUCUUUCCUCUGUCUUUAAAAACUGGAAUCGCGAUUUUUGGGCAUGUAAAAUAAAAGAUACGAAUUUUUGAAAUUCUGUUUUCAAAUCUGGAAUUUUCUGGACGGGUUAAAUGUUCUCGGAAAUAAAACGUUUUAAAAUAGUUUCAGGAGUCCAAAAAUUAUGAAUUUUUAAUUAUAUGCUUUUUGAAUGUGUCUUCUGUAAUUAGAAAAAAGAAGCAUAUUAUUUCGAGUACCAAAGAAUAUUUUAUGAAUUUUCUAAGUGGAAAAGGUCUGUUUUGGUCAGUGCUGGACAGUUUUUGUUACUUUGGUGAAAAGUCAAAAUUCUGACUCGAUUUGGACUUGUGCUGAUUUUUUGUGAAAUGUUUUAUGCAAUGCUAUGCAUGUUCAUAGUGCCUCUGUAAAUUUUCAUGGUUUUCCGACAUGUGUAUAGGUUAUUAAAAAUCAGCAUGUGCAGGAUACUCAUAAGUAUAGGAUAUGUUUAGAAUAUAUAUAAGUAUUAAGGUAGUAUUAGUGUCUAUGAUUUAAGGAUGAUUGAGAUUAUGUUUAAGAUUAGAGAUGAUAUUGAUAAGAAUAUUUUUAUGAUGAUUAUAGGACGAGGGUGAGCUCGUUAGUUGUUCUUGAGGUAUUGAAUUGAUUGCUACGGAUCGAGGUAAGUAGAUUCAUGCAUGAUAUGCUCUAUAAUAAAUGCAAUUUAUGUUACAAAAAUUAUGUUUAAAUGGAAAUUUUUACAAAAACUGAUUUCUAAAAUAUUUAAAUGAAUUUUGUAAAAUAAAAACGCUUCUAAAUGAAUUUAUAUAAAUGUAUUUUAAAAUGAAUUUUUCUUAAGAAAUUAGUUUUCUUAAACUAAAUGUUUUCUUAAAGAACUUAUGAAAAAAUGUAAGGUGGAUUCAAAAUGUUUUGGCUCAUAGUCCGUAGUAAUGUAUAUGAUGUUAAUGUUAUGAUGUUAUGAAAUGUUAUGGCCAGCUUGCUGGUAUGAUGAUGAUCUUGUGCACAAGGAUGUUACGAACAAUGUGGGGUAUAGUACCCUAAAUGAGGAACAAUGCAGGGUAUAACACCCUAAAUGAUGAAUGAUGAAUGAUGAAUGAUGAUGACUACGAGGCAUGAGCUACCAAUGUUUACGCUUUAAUGUUUUUAUAAAUGUUUUAAUGUUUUUAUAUGAAUCCACCCCUUAUGCUAAAUGAAGAUGUUGUUAUAAAAUGUUUAACGAUACAUGACAAAAGUUUUCAAAUAUUGUGCAUGGAUUUGCUUACCGAGUUUACGGCUCACCCCUCGUCUCUAAUAUUUUGCAGAUUGAUUAGAAAUGUGGCGUGGGUGCUUAGAUGGAGAAUUUUUCUUAGUGGAUCUUUGGAGUUGCUUUAAAGAUUAAAUUUGGCUAGACUUUUUAUUUUGGAUUAGAGACUUUACUUUGGAGGCUUUAUUUCAUAUGUUUUAUGUAAGGAUUCAGUUGGAGUAUGAAUAAUGAUUGUUUAUCUUGAGAUUUAUUAAUAAGAAUGAAUGAUGUGAGGUUUCAUUCCAAUUUUACCCUUGUGUUUUCAUGGGUAAUUUUUGGGGUGUUACAUACAGUCUUAUGAGAGUAUCCCAAAUUUCAUUUGCUGACUUUUUCUCUGCCACACUUGAUAACACCUCAUCCACAAGUGCCAAGUAUAGAUCAACAAUAGCAUUGUCGUCCAUCUAAUUCUACUUGUUAUCAUUAGUUAUCUCCGUGGGUCUUUCUCCAAUUGCUACCAAGCAAUUAUUUUUCCUCAAAAUAGUUUUCAUCUUUAUUUUCCACAACGAGAAAUUAUUCCCGUUAAACUUCUCAAUUUUGUAUUUUACCGCUAUCACUUUUCACCACGAUCUACCUUUGAUAGAAUCGGCUCCUACCGUUUUGCAUGAACAGUAACCGUAUACGUGAACAAUGUCAUAUAUGUGAACAUUAUACUCAACUUCAGAAAUGCAACCAGCAACUCUGAUACCACUGUUAGAAAAUCGAUAGGUGAAGCAGGGCCACAACUAAAAUGAAAUUGGAAGAAAAAUAAAAAUAAGCAUAGACAGAAGAUACCGAAAAUUACGUGGUUCGGCUAUUAGCCUACAUCCACGGGCGAAGAUAAAAGGAAAAUAUUUCACUAAUGAAAUGAGGAUUAAAAAUAUUGUAAUAUUUUUUACUCACUACCCAAUACCCCAAUACACACAAUCUCUUACUCACUAAUCACUCAACUUUCACUUGGUUUUUUUCUCCUCUCAAAAUAGAUCUGAAAAAGAAGAGAAGAAUUGGACACAUAAAUGAGGAGGAGCAUCCUCUUUUUAUAGCCAAAAUUUGGCUACUGCACUCUAUUAUUUUAUUUUUUUUUCUUUUCAAAUUAUGUUGCCCUUUCUUUCUUCUUCAAAUAUUUCAAUUUUAUUUUUCUUCUUCUCAUUCUUUUUUAAAAGAAGUUGUUGCCAAACCAUUUUUCCUUCAAACAUUUACAACUUCUACAUUGGUGGGCUUCUAGAAUUUGGCACGCCAACUUUGACAAAUCCAAAGAAAGCGCGGUUGGGUGAAUUUGGAUUGUCCCACAAAAUGUCAUAGACUCAAAGUUAUUUGAGCAAUAAAGGAGCUCCAUGAUAUAAGUAAGAUAUCAUGAAGUCAAAGAAAGCCCAGUUGCAGAAGAAAAAUGCAGGACACAUUAUCUAAACCCAAAAGAAAAAUUUAAAAUUUUCAAAAACUCAAUUUGAGAAGGAAAUAAAUAUAGACUUCAGAUAAAACUCUAAUUAAGAGGUAACAAUAUAUUAGAAUAAGGAGUUUUCAAGGAUUUAGGAUACCUAAAUUAUAUUAUAAAUAAGAAGCUUUUAAUGCAUAGAGAGCAAAAGGCAAAUAACUAAAAAAAAAAAAAAAACUUUGUUGUAAUUUUUAUACAAUAACGAAAGUUGCUCUUUCUAUUUCCGUAGACAUAAGUGGUGUGCACAAUCUUUAAUGGUAUGGGUAUCAAUGUGCAAGUAUACACUAAGUAAUAUACUAAUGAGUAUUCAAAUCAUUUCCACAUAAAUUGAUGUUAUCAGACUUGUUACAGUAAUCUUAACAGUGCAAUUUUGUUCUAAAUUAAAAUAAGACAAUUUAUGAAACUAAUAAACUAAUUAAAAUGUAAUAAAGAAAAUUAUCACGUCAAACACAAAGAUAUAACCAAUGGGAAUAGAGUAGUUGAGUGAAUAAACUCACUUAAUGACAUUGACUAUUUUUUCAAUUACAGUACCGUUGAUACAACAUCUACUACAGCACUGGGCAGAAUCUCUCAUGCAUCAUUAGCUGUCGUCUGUUGGAUAUCUUAUAUCUAAUGCAACUUAACAGUGACCAAUUGUUAUACCAAUAUUAAAUAUAACAUUAAACGAUCUAGACUCCAUUUAGUCUACAAGGUAAAUCUCUAUGUCUAGUUUAUCAUUAAUUUUAGAUCAAGCACGACCCUAUUCAAAUCAAGAUUUACUCAACUUGGUAAAUACAAUCUAAAACCAAGUAUUGUCUUAAUGAGAUCCACUAGUUAGACAUUGUUUUGUCUCUUUCUUAACUAGUGUCCACUAAAUGGAUGGUCAGCCGAAAUAAAAAAUUAAAAUAAAUACAAUUAACACAAAAUGUUAUAGCAUACACAAAGUAACAUGUGUAUACAAGUCAAAUAUCCAUUAAGAUCGUUUAUUACUCACCUACAACCAAAUUCAGUUCAUAAUUUGUAAUAAAACAAUGAAGAAAAUAGUUUCAACCAUCAAAUACAUCCCGAUAGAUAAAAAAAAAAAGAUAAUAAAAAGAACUGAUUUCCAUUGAUCUCUGCAAUUUCUCCUAUGUCAGCCUUCAAUCUAUCUCUUGAUUUUUGUUUUUCUUUUGUUUUCUUUGCGGUUUUUCCCUUAGGUGAUGACUCUUUCUUUUCCUUUGCAAGCGUGCUUCUUUUAUAGCUGAGAAUUAGGGAAACCUGAAGUGUAGGGCUUCCAUUUUUUGGAAACUUCAAAUUGCAAUCUUUUAGUUGAUAUGCGCGAAAUCUUCUCUGUCAUUGCUCCAAGAUUGCUACAGUAACAAUGCUACAGCAACGGCUACCGCAUCUUACUUGAAAUUUAAGCUUCUGGUCACCUACAAUUAUGCAUAUUAUUUAAGCACAAAUUAUUUUAAAACAAACUAAAUUUAUUUAAAAUAAACUAAAAUGGAUGCUUAUGCAAAAUAUAACUAAAAUACAAUAAAAACAUAUCAUUUACUCUCUAAGUAUUAUUGAUUUAAGUAUAAAAGUGUCAUGAUAACUCGCAUUUUAUAGAAUUAUCAGUAAGCCAAGCAUUGAACUAAAUAAAUUGUCUGUGUUUUAUUUUUUAUAUCGUCCCACUUAUUUAAUUUUCUAAUCGAUCAAAAUCAAUGUCGACACUUAUAAAAUAAUCUAAGAUGUACAAUUAUCGGUUAAAUAAACCCUGACGGUGCAGGUUCUAAAAGUUUUUCUUAUUGUGAUUAUUUUGUCUCUCUCCACUUCACUAUUUAUUGUGGAACUAUUUAUCUUUAUUGUACAAAAAUUUAAUUAAUAUUGCAUUGCAGAACUCUUGUUCUGUUCAUGCAACAUACAAACCGAAGUUCUGAUCUUCCACCUCUUAUACACAAAUAGGACCAUGGCUAUAAACAGCCAACCUCACCUUGUAUGUAAUAAGUAUACACACACAUUUAUUUAGUUCUUAUACUUUUCUCAUUUUGAUAUUAUUAAAAUACUCCCACAUAAAUCCAUUACAUUUCUUUCUUUUCUCACUUUUUCUUGUUUAUACCUUGUCAUUCACAAUACAUUUGAGGAAUUUUAACACUCAUGUCUACCUAGCUACCUCAAAACCAAAGCACAGAAAAUAGUUAAUAAUUGAGAACUUUUCUGUCAGAUAUUUAUGAAAGUUAAUAAUUGAGAGCUUUUCUUUUCAGCGAAAUCAACGGAGGCUAAAGACCAAGAACAAAAGCAAGAAAAUGACAGCAAUUGACAGAAGAAAAACAAAGAGAGCAAUUGUGACAAAGUAAAACAAAUAAGAAAAGAAAAACAAAUCACCGAAAGCCAGCGCAAAAGGGUUGUCACCAAAGUCAUCAAAAGCAUGCUGUAACAGUCGAGUUAUUAUUACUUAUUAGCUUUCUUUACUUUUUGGAAAGUGACCUUAGCAAGAACGUUUGCAUCCUAAAGAGAGUAGAUAAUCCGCAUAGGCGAAUAAGAUUGCCAAGAAGUUGCUGUGUUAGAGGUUCGCUAGACUUAUUUCUUUUCUUCAGCAGCAUCCACAUAAGUGAAUUUUACUACCAAGUAGUCGCUGUGUUACAGGUUCGCUAAAGACUUAUUUUUUUCCUUCAGCAGCAUCGACCAUGGCAACGGCAGCAACAAGAUCAACAUCAAACACGGAAACGAAGAUGAAAUUGAAGUUAAUGAUUGACAAACCAGCUAACAAGGUCCUGUUUGCCGAAGCCGAAAAAGAUUUUGUGGAUCUCCUAUUCAAUCUCCUUUAUAUGCCAUUUGGUAGUGUAAUCAGGCUCCUCAGGAAUGCUGGCAUGGUUGGCUGCACAGGAAACCCUUGCCAGAGUCUUGAAAACCUGCGUGAAGCUCUCUUGAUACCCAAUCAGAACAAAGUUGAGCUCUUAAAGCCGCUUCUAAAAUGGGAAAAAGAAUCUGCGCUCUUGCAGCCCCAAGCUUGCCCGCAACCUAUGGAGAGAAAGUUUUACGCUUGCCAAAACCGUCAUCAUUGUGUGACAAAUCAAAUAGACACCCCGUGUCCCCAUUGUUGUGGUUAUUCUCUGCGUUCUGAGUUGCGGCAGGUGAACAUGGUUCUGGAGGGCGGAAUAGUAAAGAAAUCAGUCGCUUUCACGGUAUCAGAUGAUUUAUCAGUGAUACCAGGGUCAAUGAUAUCAGGCAUUGGCCUGCUACAAGGCAAACUUAAGGAUGCUAUUGGCGCCCUUGAGGAGAGAGUUGUGGAUAUUGGCCCUGAUGAGGUAAGGAGUUCUUGAGUUAGAAUCUUUAUCUUGUUCGAAUUUUGAGUUCAAUAACAGAAAAUUUUAAUUUGAAAGCAUAAUUAAGCUACCAUGUUGCUCUUUUCUCCCAACCACUGAUAUUGGUUUUGGGCUAAAGCAUAUGGUUUUUGUAACUCUCAGGUUUUGGAGCUGUUGAAAGCUUCAUUGCAGACAAAUGAAGCUCUCUCUACCGUCUUCCUUCCUCGUGAAGAAAGAGUUAUUGGGAUGAAUGAUUAGUGUUAAAAAUUGUAUGUUUAUUAAGGGAUAAAAAUGUUAUUUUGUGCUAUUAAUGUAAUUUAUAUUUGUAAUUGUCUAACAUAUUGUGAAUUUCUAAUUAUUUUCUAAAUAUUUGAUUUUGUGUGUUUAUGAGGUAAAAAUAAUAAUUUUAUGUAAUUUGAGGCUCCAAACAAAUGUAUGGAUGUCAAAUUUGGAUUCCGGAAGUUCGAGAAAUUAUGUCAUUGUCGAGGAGCCGUGACUUUUGUUGUAAAAACGGUAAAUGUGGUAAUUGCAAAAUUAUAAAUUUUUAUCAUGUUAGGUAUGGUAAUUUUUAGUGGAAUGUGUUGGAUAUGCUUGAGUGGAUAAGUUAGGUUUAUGUUUUAUUAGUGGGAUUAUUAGUGGGACAAAUGUAAGGUUAAGAUGUAAUUAGAUUUUUUUUUAUUUGUGUGGUGUGGAUUUAUCAUGUAUUAGUAUAAAUAGAGAGGGUGAACACACCUCUACAUACCCUCUCUUCUCUUCUUUCCCCCAAAAUCUUCUUCUUAUCUCUUUUUAUAAUAUAUUUUCAAUCAAUAAAAUUAGUUUUGUUUUAAUUUUUAAAUUCCUUUUUUAAUUAUGUGUUUUUCAAUUGUAAUAAUUUUCUUUAUUUCAAAAAUGUUUAACUAAAUAUUCAUAGUUAGGGGAAGGUGAAAUUCUUAGUAAAAAAAUAUGGUUUAAUCAAAUUUUAUUUUUUAUUUUAUAAAUUAAAUUGUUUUCUAUUUAAUUUUAUCCAUAUUUUAUAUUUUGAAAUUUUGAUUUAGUGUAGAUAAAAAUAGGAAUUUGGCACAAUAAAUUCUUAAUAUCUUAGUAUAAAAUAUGGAAAAAUGGUAUUUUGAUUUAGUGUAGACAAAUUAAGUUUUGGCACAUUAAAUUCUUAAUCCACAAUAAAAUAAAUGAGAAAAUAAUUUUAAUUUAUACAAUUAAUCUUUUGGGAAAUAAAAAUAAAAAUAAAAAGAAUUUAUUAAAUUGUAUUUAUUACUAAGAGUGGAUUCAUAACUCUAACUAAUUUAUUUUAUACUUUUUGUUAAAUAAAUUACAUAUUUAUAAAUUUUAUUUUUAUUUGGAUAAACUUAAGUAAACAAAUUAAAUCUUUUCUCUGCGGAUCAACCUCGGACUCACCGAAAUAUAUUAUAACUAGGCACUCUUAUAUUUGUGAGAAAAUUAAACACUUUUAAGUCGUGUCAAUGAAGAUUAGAUGACUCACAAAAAAAUAAAAUGCGCUGAGGGUAUUUUGUUAUGACAUUAAGCUAUAAGUCGAGCUUUAUAUAUCCGUUUGGUUUGUUUAUUACAAACCCAGUAUACAUUCUUGUUUCUGCGUUUUUCUUGAUGUUACAAAACUAUGUGAUGAAUUGAUAAUGUUAAUAUAUUAUGAAUCCACCAAUUUAUGUUAAACAUUAUUGGAACUACUGGAGGCCUUACUGGUGUUGGUAAGAUUAUAUGGCUCCUCUUCUAAGUUACAGUUUCGGAAAAGCAUGAACUCUUUUAGUCUUUGUGUUAUUUGUUUCUCUUUAACAUGAAAUUAUUCUGAUGAUGAAAACAGGAGUCCGAAAUUCGGUGAUUAUCAUGAAUGACAUUAAAAUUGUGUUCUGUUAAAACAAAGUGGAAUCUAAAAGUUUUAUUUGUUUUAGAGAUAAGCUUUAUGACCUAAUUCUUGGUGGUCCUUUUAGCAAAAAGAAUCUGAUGUAGAAGAAAUUAGAAUUUCAUCAUUUUAGGUGUUUUUGAAAUUUUCCAUUUUAAUCUCAUUAUGCAUUUAGGUACUUUAUUUCAAUUUUAAUUGUCGUUUAUACUUUUAUAUCUGAGUUAAUUUAAGGAAAUUGAUCAAAUAUUUAGAGAGGCCUUGUGAUUCUUUUUAUACCGAAGAUAAAAGAAAGACAUAUAUAUCACCGGAAGUCAUAUAUAAAAGAAAGCAAUUCUAACAAAUAAAGCAAAACAAAAAAGAAAAGAAAGAUAUAUAUAUCACCGGAAGUCAGCACAAAAGGAAAGACACAAAAGUCAGCAAAAGCAUGCUAUAACAUUCAAGUUAUUACUAGCUUUCGUUUAAGGUAAAGAUUUGCAUAUCACAUAUUGGUUCAAACUUCAAAGCAUUUCAAUGUUGUUAAAGCAAAGAAAACAUCCCAAAAGCUAAGUGGGAUGCUUCACUCUACAAUUGAUGCUCUCGGAUUCGGAAGAAAACUCGGCAUAUGGAGCAGCCUAUGUAUAGUCUAAGCUUGAGAUCGAGAUUGUGCUCUGCAUUUGAUCAUCACCUUCAUUAGCAAAAUAAUAAUAAAUUUUUGCUACCAAAUUUGUUUUACUUUUGCGAAGUGACUUAUUACCAAGCGCUUUCGUAUCCUAAAGAGAGUAACUAAUCCACUUAAGUGAUAUUUAAUUGCCGAGUGGUUACUGUGCUACAGUUCGCUAAAGAAUUAUUUCUUUUUCUUCCGAAACAUCAACCAUGGCAACAGCAACAACAUCAUCAGAUUCUGAAACCACGAAGGUGAAAUUAAAGUUAAUUAUUGACAAGCGAGAUAACAAGGUCCUGUUUGCCGAAGCUGAAAAAGAUUUUGUGGAUAUUCUGUUCAACCUUCUUUACAUGCCAUUUGGUACUGUCACCAGGCUUCUCAGGGAUGCUCGCAUGGUUGGCUGCACAAGAAACCUGUACCAGAGUCUUGGAAAUUUGAGUGAAGCGCUGUUAUGCCGCUGGUGAACACACCGAACAGCAAGGUUUCCACACUUUUCAAGCAAGUGCAAGCUCCCAGAAUUUUAAAGAAACGAGUGAAUGGCAAGAGAGAAUAGAGAGGAAAAUUCAGAGAAGAAGAAGAAACUAAGUCCAGAAUUUUUAUAUCCCAUCAAAUACAACCAUGGAAAUACUUAUAGCAGCAAGAAUAUGCUCACAGCUGUCAAAACUAAAUAACAACCUUUCUCUAUAACAAAAAUUAUUCUCUAAAUAGCUAAGGCCGUUAGAAACCAAGUCCUCUGCUCAUAUAUGCUCAGUGUGUGUAAUCCUUGAACCAUUUGGGAGGCUUCCUUACGCGACUUGGCUUGAUGUUAUCUUGGGGUCGGUUUUGGAUAGCCUCACUUGAGUUUGCCUGGGCCUUUUCCUCGCUAUUGAUAGAGCUAGCUGAGUUGGGCUUGUCUAACUGUAAUAUUGGGGUUGUAUCAUUUUCUUUCUGGGAACAUGAAGUAUUGGAAGUUGGCUUAAUCUGGUAAAUGUAUUUGUUGUUGUUACUAGUUAGUUUUAGUUGGUGUUUGUUCAGAAAUGAAAGUGAAAGGAAAUGGUAGAUUAGUCCUGCUCAAUAAUGCUAGUGUGUUUACUUGAUGAUGGCUAAUGUAGCCGGAUUCUAUUUGCCGCUAUGUUUAGUUUUUCUUGACUUUUGAUGAUUGUAUUUUUGUUGAAAUAUUGUGUGAUUUUGAAAAAAAAAAUGUUUUCUUGUUACAACGGAUUUAAUUUAGUCAAUCUGGAUUUUGGUUAACAUCUUCUUUUGUUCCAUAGGUUCUGAAGAGGGACAUCCCAUGGGAGACCUACAUGACAACGAAGCUGAUUUCAGGAACAGGGCUUCAGCUGUUAAGACGAUAUGAUAACAGAUCAGAAAGUCACCGGGCUCAAUUGCUGGAUGAUGUAAUGUUGCAUGGCUCUUAAUCAGGAGGGCAUCACGUUCCAGCAGCAAUUCAUCAAGUGCUUGGAUUAAAGUAGAGCUCCCGGUAUAGGAAGGAAUUACAGGUGGCUCACGACCAUACAAGGCCUUAAAAGGAGACAUUUGGAUGCUUGUAUGAAAGCUAGUGUUGUAAGAAAACUCAGCCCAGCCUAAAUAAUCGAACCACGAUGUCGGUUUCGCUUAUGUGAAUACUCGCAAAUACUGCUCGAGUCCUCGAUUAACAACCUCUGACUGGCCAUCCGUUUGAGGAUGAUAUGCUGUACUAUGCUUCAAUGUGGUACCCUUAACUCAAAGAGUUUCUUCCAAAAGCUACUAAGAAAGAUAGAGUCACGAUCUGAAAUUAUUGUACGGGGAAAACCAUGGUGCUUAAGAACCAUAUCAGUGAAUAAAACGGCUGUUUUGCUUGCUGUAAAGUGUGUGGGUAGAGCACCAAAAUGAGCUGAUUUUGUCAAUCGGUCAACAACAACUAAGAUAACAGUGAACCCAUGGGAAAAUGGUAAACCUGUAAUGAAAUCCAUGGUAACUUCCUCCCAAACUAGUGAAGGUAUAGGCAAGGGUUGAAGGAGUCCAGCUGGUGCCUGAGUAGAGUAUUUUGUUUGCUGACACAAUAAACAAGAGGCAACAAAUAACUCCACAUCCUUGCGCAUAUUUGGCCAAUAAAAGAGAGUGGAUAGACGAACUAAUGUCCGCUUGACGCCGGCAUGACCUGCGACUGGUGUGGCAUGAAAUUCUUGUAAUAAAGAAGGCUUCAAAACAGAGUGAGAGCUGAUGAAGAACCUGUUUUUGAACCGUAGGAUUCCAUCCGAGACCGAAUAUGGAUACAUUAAAGAACCAGAGGAAUACUUCUGAUGGAGAGCUAAGAGAUCCGGUAAGGACUGAUUUUCCGCACAAAGAAUAGAGAGGAAUUCAGGAAUAGGACAGCUAGUGAGUAACAGAGUAGCAGUAGAAUGGCCAUAUACUUUAGGGACAUCAACUUCAUGUACCCUGGAUAAGGCAUCAGCUGCACUAUUAGUUCGACCCGGCUUAUAUUCAAAGCCUUUUGCUGCAUUCUAUGUUGAGCUGCUCGCAAGUUGGUUUUCAAGGCUGUUAGAAGGGCAUCACGUUCCAGCAGCAAUUCAUCAAGUGCUUGGAUUGAAGUAGAGCUCCCGGUAUCGGAAGGGAUUACAGGUGGCUCACGACCAUACAAGGCCUUAAAAGGAGACAUUUGGAUGCUUGUAUGAAAGCUAGUGUUGUAAGAAAACUCAGCCCAGCCUAAAUAAUCGAACCACGAUGUCGGUUUCGCUUAUGUGAAUACUCGCAAAUACUGCUCGAGUCCUCGAUUAACAACCUCUGACUGGCCAUCCGUUUGAGGAUGAUAUGCUGUACUAUGCUUCAAUGUGGUACCCUUAACUCAAAGAGUUUCUUCCAAAAGCUACUAAGAAAGAUAGAGUCACGAUCUGAAAUUAUUGUACGAGGAAAACUAUGGUGCUUAACAACCAUAUCAGUGAAUAAAACGGCUGUUUUGCUUGCUGUAAAGUGUGUGGGUAGAGCACCAAAAUGAGCUGAUUUUGUCAAUCGGUCAACAACGACUAAGAUAACAGUGAACCCAUGGGAAGAUGGUAAACCUGUAAUGAAGUCCAUGGUAACUUCCUCCCAAACUAGUGAAGGUAUAGGCAAGGGUUGAAGGAGUCCAGCUGGUGCCUGAGUAGAGUAUUUUGUUUGCUGACACAAUAAACAAGAGGCAACAAAUAACUCCACAUCCUUGCGCAUAUUUGGCCAAUAAAAGAGAGUGGAUAGACGAACUAAUGUCCGCUUGACUCCGGCAUGACCUGCGACUGGUGUGGCAUGAAAUUCUUGUAAUAAAGAAGGCUUCAAAACAGAGUGAGAGCUGAUGAAGAACCUGUUUUUGAACCGUAGGAUUCCAUCCGAGACCGAAUAUGGAUACAUUACAGAACCAGAGGAAUACUUCUGAUGGAGAGCUAAGAGAUCCGGUAAGGACUGAUUUUCCGCACGAAGAAUAAAGAGGAAUUCAGGAAUAGGGCAGCUAGCAAGUAACAUAGUAGCAGGAUAAUGGUCAUAUAAUUCAGGGACAUCAACUUCAUGUACUCUGGAUAAGGCAUCAGCUGCACUAUUAGUUCGACCUGGCUUAUAUUCAACCCUGAAAUGAUACCCCAGUAAUUUACGAACAUAAAAUUGUUGCUCUGGAGUUUGGAUAACCUGCUGAAGGAGCUCUCGAAUACUUUUCUGGUCAGUUCGGAUAAUAAAGAAAUGGCCUAACAAGUAUUGUCUCCACUUAUGUACUGCUUCGGCAAUGGCAUGAAGUUCUUUGAUAUAAGUAGAAGCGACAAGCAUGCGAGGACCCAAUUUUCGGCUAAAAUAAGCAAUAGGAUGAUCAGCUUGCAUCAGUACGGCUCCAAUACCAACAUUCGAGGCAUCCGUCUCAAUAACAAAAUCCAAUUGAAAAUCUGGCAAGCGAAGGACUGGUGCUGCACUCAUGGCUUGUUUUAAGGCAGCAAAGGCCGUGUCAGCUGCGGAGGACCAAUGGAAACAAUCCUUCCGCAAUAAAUCUGUGAGAAGGGCAGCAAUGGAAGCAUAUCCUUUAAUAAAGCGACGAUAAUAGCCUGUGAGACCCAAGAAUCCUCGCAAUUGUUUUGUGGUAGACGGCGUAGGCCAAUUAGACAUGACCACCAACUUGCGAGGAUCGGCCUUAACUCCAGAAGAGGAAACAAUAUGGCCGAGAUAUUCAAUGUUAUCCUGGCAAAAAAAACACUUUGAGAGCUUCACAAAAAAAUGAUUAGUAUGAAGACAAUCAAAUACUCUAUGUAAAUGCUCAAAAUGGUCUUCUAGAGAAGUGUUGUACACUAAGAUAUCGUCAAAGAAAACGAUCACAAACUUACGAAGAUAAGGAGCAAAGAGCCUAUUCAUUGUCGCUUGAAAUGUGGAAGGGGCAUUAGAGAGUCCAAAAGGCAUAACAAGGAACUCAAAAUGCCCAUCAUGAGUCCGAAAGGCUGUUUUAUAAAUAUCUCUGUCACAUACUCGUAUUUGAUGGUACCCCGCUCGCAAAUCCAGCUUACUGAAAAUACAAGCACCACCAAGCUCGUCUAAUAACUCAUCAAUAGUUGGUAUUGGAAAUUUGUCUUUAAUUGUUACUGCGUUCAAGGCUCGGUAAUCUACACAAAAACGAUAUGAGCCAUCUUUCUUUUUAACCAGCAACACAGGUGAAGAGAAUGGGCUAUGACUUGGGCGAAUAAUGCCUUGAUCAAGCAUUUCUUUAAUAAGUCUCUCCAUUUCGGCCUUUUGGAAGUGAGGAUAACGGUAUGGGCGAACAUUGACAGGUUUAGUAUUUGGGAGAAGAUGAAUGUGAUGGUCAAUAAGUCUAUGAGGAGGUAGAGAAGAUGGAGUGUGAAAUAAUUGCUCAUAUUGAUGAAGAAGGGCAAGUACAGGGGAAGGCAAAUCGGGUGGGAAGUCAAACUUAGCAGCAGUGGUUGGAACAGAGAAGGUAUCCUGCGCGUCUGUAGUAGUAUGCAACUGGAAAAAUUCAAAGAGACCGUGGAUUUGAUCAUGGGACAUGAGGGCUUGUAAUUGAUGAAAAGAAAUCGAUCUUGGAGACAAGGAGAGAUCACCUCGCAGGAAGACAGGAGAGCCAUUAUAGAAAAAUUCCAUUGACAAUGCCGCAUAGUCAUGAGAGACUUUGCCAAGUAGCUGUAACCAUUGAAUUCCGAGGACAAUAUCCGGUCCCUCAAUAGGAAGAACAUAAAGGUCGAUGUAGAAAACAUGGCCUUGCAUAGAUAAGGCGACUUGGGAACAAACAUAUCGACAAACUAAAGAAUCACCAUUACCGAUAUAUACCCGGAAUGUGGUAGUGUCUUGUACUGCUAACCCCAAAACUUCAGCCACAGCGGGUUUAAUAAAAUUAUGAGUGCUACCACUAUCGAUAAGUACUUGCACGGGCUGUUGAUUAAUUUCACCAAGGAGUCGUAGAGAGCGAGGAGUAUUUUGGCCCGCUAAGGCAUUUAAACUAGAGAUAUCACCAACUAUAAUAGUUUCCUCAACAACAUCUGAGAUCUCAGAAUUAAUUGGUGGACCCAUCGCCUCGUCAACAUCCUCUGUUCCUAAUAGAAGCAGAAACUUACUACGGCAUCUAUGAGAGUUGCUCUACUUCUGCUCGCAAUUGUAGCAGAGUCUUUUCUCCCUUUUUUCACGAAGUUCUUAAGGAGAAAGACGCUUAAUAGGGAGAGAUGGCGUUGGUAAAAGUGGAGGUAAAGUGGACGGGGCAGGUUGAGGUGGGUUGAUGGCAGGGGCACUUGCAGGACUGUGAUUGGUUGGAGUAGGGUGAAAGGAUGAUGUGGUGGUUUUGGGGGUCCACUUAGACCAAGGUCUGGACGUAACUUUACUCUCAUCUCCACGUGCUUCAAACAUACGAGCUAGUGCAAAUGCCUCCAUCAACGAGGAAGGCCGUGACAGCAACAGCUCGCGACGAAUAUCCACUCGCAACCCCGUGAUAAAAAAUGAGAUAAGGAGAGGCUCGGAAAUACCUGUGACUUUAUUCAUGAGGUCCUCAAACUCAGUUUGAAAUUCUGCCACACUUGAUUUCUGAGUAAGUUUUGAUAGAUUGCCUUGGUGGUCCUCGUACAGGGAAGCUCCGAAACGAAACUUCAGAUUUUGAAGAAAAUCCUUCCAACUGGUAAGAAGAUCAUUCGCCUUCAUCCAUUGGUACCAAGCCGAAGCGCGACCUUCCAAAUGAAAAGACACGAUGCGGAGACGAAGAGCUUCGGAUGUGCCAUGGAAAUCAAAAUACUCAUUGAUGCGAAAAGCCCAACCGUUUGGGUCAGUUCCAUCAAAUUUUGGGACCUCGAGUUUCAUUGUUCGCAAGAGAGGAUUGGAGUCAUGGGUGCCCGAUGAACCAUCAGAUAUAUGUGGAAACGGGGGUGGAUUCGAAAGUCCAUUUGUUGGACCGGAAGGUAACCCCUUGAUCUGAGAACGCAAGUCCUCCAAGCAAGAAUCCACAGUAAGCAUGUAUUGUUGCAGCGUGUGAUGAACUGCAACCGUUUGGCUAUCAAGUUUUGUUUGUAAAGCUUUAAUGGCAUCUAGAUUCUCCGAAUCAGCCAUGAUGAGCAAAUAGCAAUGAAAGCACCAAUGUUAUGCCGCUGGUGAACACACCGAACAGCAAGGUUUCCACACUUUUCAAGCAAGUGCAAGCUCCCAGAAUUUUAAAGAAACGAGUGAAUGGCAAGAGAGAAUAGAGAGGAAAUUUCAGAGAAGAAGAAGAAACUAAGUCCAAAAUUUUUAUAUCCCAUCAAAUACAACCAUGGAAAUACUUAUAGCAGCAAGAAUAUGCUCACAGCUGUCAAAACUAAAUAACAACCUCUCUCUAUAACAAAAAAUUAUUCUCUAAAUAGCUAAAGCCGUUAGAAACCAAAUCCUCUGCUCAUAUAUGCUCAGUGUGUGUAAUCCUUGAACCAUUUGGGAGGCUUCCUUACGCGACUUGGCUUGAUGUUAUCUUGGGGUCGGUUUUGGAUAGCCUCACUUGAGUUUGCCUGGGCCUUUUCCUCGCUAUUGAUAGAGCUAGCUGAGUUGGGCUUGUCUAACUGUAAUAUUGGGGUUGUAUCAAGCGCUCCUGAUAACCAAUCACAGCAAAGUUGAGCUCUUGAAACCCCUUUUAAAAUGGGAAAAGGCAUCUGUGCUCUUGCAGCCCCAAGCUUGUCCGCCACCUGUACCUGUGGAGAGAAAG